AGGUUCAACCAGGCUGGAGAAACGGAAAGAAGAGUAGAGGAGAGGGGAGCAGGGGAGCUAGGGUCAGAUCCUGUCUUUUUCUUUGACCCUAGCCUCAUUUCCUACCCUGCAGUUGCCCAUCCGGAAUGGCUCUGAAG
RNAcentral lists this microRNA precursor (137 nucleotides) under Mus caroli (Ryukyu mouse). RNAcentral's name for it is "microRNA 8119 (MGP_CAROLIEiJ_G0007899.1)". Lineage: Eukaryota; Metazoa; Chordata; Mammalia; Rodentia; Muridae. The record is from RNAcentral.